Molecule: long non-coding RNA, 2622 nt
Organism: Drosophila pseudoobscura
Lineage: Eukaryota; Metazoa; Arthropoda; Insecta; Diptera; Drosophilidae
Exons: 2
Source: RefSeq, a predicted model, not a curated record
GUACAAAUUUAAACAAACCUAUAAAUAACCCAGACAAAAAUUGAUCGUUUACACAUUGAACUCUCUGAUGGCGCUCUAAAAAUAGAGAUUUUCACGCAAUUUGGUCGAUGAUUUCGUUCGCUAAUCCGUUUACUUGUUAAUUGAGUUUGGCAGACGCCAUAAUCGAAUUGUGCAUCCCCAGACAGACACGACACUCCACGCUACUCCAUGCCUCUCCAUUCCCAAUUCCAUCUCCAGGCAACAAACCUUAAUUGCCUUUACACGCAAUUAUUUAUUCAAACACAACUAAAUCCCGGGGCAUUGGCUGACAAAAUAGUUUGUUUUUUGGGUCAACACGCCACGUCAGGGAAUAUGACAUGACUAUUGGAAUUAUCCUGGAAAGACAAAGGUGGCAAAGGGGCUAAGAGGGUGGGGGAGUGCCUGAAAGCAGGCAACACAAUUCUUGCCACAACAAUUCAGGUGAAUACAAACAAAACGCAUGGAAUGGAGAGGAGAGGAGGCUUCACUGUGGCACUCUAUUCUCUAAAUGUAUGUACAGCCAUAAUCUAUGACUCAAACAGUAAACGAAGAAGAGCAGAGCAGAGCAACAAAUAUGUACAAAUAAGCUGGAAAAAGGCAAUAAACAAAGCGCACGACAAAAACAGAAAACAGAACAGAACAAAAUGAAUCGAUGGAAUGGGGAAUGGGAAAGAAGUGGGCAAUGGCAAUCAGACCAGGAAUGCGAGUUUAAUGGAAAAAUCAGUGGCAAAUGUUACCAAGAUAACGUAUUUUGUUUGUCAUAGACAAAUACGAUAUGCAUACAAUAAAUGUAGGGUAUUAAUAGAGCUAUUGUUUACGUAGUACUUGCAGAAUUCAUGGUGUAUGUACUUUUUGCAAUUCGGGCCUUCUGUUUAAUGCAGGUAUAUCUCGCCCACAAUAUGGAUACCAGCAGGGGAAGGGGAUUUUCUUGUCAACAGGCCAAAGCCAGCUCUGCCAGACGAGAUUUUCUUUUUGGAAAUUACUGGACGUCUGAAAAUAUGCAAUGGUUGCCAGUGCCUGAGGUGAUCCGAUUACGUUGGAAACUUUUUCCAUUGCCCUGGCCACAUGUGUUAAUUCCUUUAUGAGAGCGUAAUAAGAUCGUAAUAGUCUAUGCAAAUAUUUGACCAGCAAUCAACCAUAAUUACGGCGGACAGGUGCGAAAUAUAUAAAUAAAGACGUCCAAAUGGUGAGGUCUAGACUACUAUAUGUUCUCUCUCUGAGAAAAAUUGUUUAUUUGAAAAUAUCAUCAAAGUAUUGUUUUCAUUUGUGUGGAAAUGCAAGUGGAGAUAUUUCUCCGAGUAAAGUUCAAUGCACUCUUUUGAUGAUAACAAAGCUACAUAUGAAAUAUGAUAUUAAAUCUAAGUAGACAAAAAUCUACACGGUACGUUACUGUAGUACUAGUAAUUGUGCAUAUUAUGUAUUCUAUAUUUCGUUAUUUAUAUCUGCAAUUAUACUUACAAUGCAAGCCUUAACGGACUUCCAAAGAUUUCUCGCAAAGUCUUCAAUCUUGCUGGUUUUUCCCCGUACGUUCGCCAGUUGCACGACGUUUCCUUUUAGAGCGUUGGGGAGUAAGGCAAGAGGGAGGAGUAACCCAAGAACGAUGAAUAGAGUUUCCGGGAAAUCGGUGCACGCACAAAGUCACUUAUCACGCCUGCUAACCGGACACCUGUGGGCGAUGGCACAUGCAGGAGUGCAGGGAGAGAUUUCCACGAAUCGGCUAGAGCCGUGUUUCUAGGGGAACCGAACCGAACAAUUAAGCCGUGCCGCUGGACAGUCACAUUGCCGAUGAUCCCAAAAAAUACACACACGAACAAGCGGCAAGCGUUUGUGCCGGCUGGCUAUUAUCUAUUGUCCGUCUGUUAUUGUAUCCCGGUUAUCCUCUCCAACCAGGAUUUCUGUUAACUUUGGUAUUAUAGCUUUUUUCCGUUCAAUCUGUUGUUGUUGUUUGUUGUUGGUCCAAGACUAUCUCUUAUCGCUCUCUCUCUGUCUCUCUGCCUGUCUAUCUGUCAGAGUCUCUUCUUCGCGCUUCCACGCCAACAAAUCCGAUGUUUAUUCGCUCUUGAGUUUGAUUUUUUUCUUGACCUUGUAACGACGGUUGCGCUGAUCUAUGACAAACUCAUAUCGCGAUCUCUGCACAUUUUCGCUAUCCAAAUCACAACAGCUCAGACCAAGCAGGCGCAGAACUCCUAGCGAAUACGUUGUGACUGAAUUAUAGGGCCUGGAUCGGUGCGAAAUCGGUGUCCGCUGCAACAGCUGCGGUUCAGGCGUGGGCGUAUGGGCGUAGGGCGUGUGUGGCUGCCUCUGGAUGAUGCACUACCGAGCGAAUGAACGGUUAAGUGUUGUAUGCCACUCUCGACCGGGCUUUCAAUGUUUGGGGCGUCAAUGAGCAGGCGGCGCGCACUUGACAAGCUUUUUGUAUCGAGAGAUGACGUUAUCCUGCGAUCGCUCGCAGUCUUUCUCUUCGGGUUUGCAACUGCACUUUUCUCUCUUCGGCGUUCUUUCUAGAUGUUUCUCUCCCCCCUUAGGUGGUGGUGGUGGUGGUGGUGCACUCUCUCAAUAUUUCGCUUCCCUCUCGCUCUGGCUGACUACGGCUGCUUCAAAAAG